RNAcentral lists this ribosomal RNA (439 nucleotides) under uncultured bacterium. RNAcentral's name for it is "partial 16S ribosomal RNA". It matches the Rfam family "Bacterial small subunit ribosomal RNA", at positions 339 to 795 of the family's 1533-position model. The record is from RNAcentral.
CUACGGGUCGCUGCAGUGGGGGAUAUUGCACAAUGGGGGAAACCCUGAUGCAGCAACGCCGCGUGAAGGAAGACGGAUUUCGGUCUGUAAACUUCUAUCAGCAGGGAUGAAAAUGACAGUACCUGACUAAGAAGCCCCGGCUAACUACGUGCCAGCAGCCGCGGUAAUACGUAGGGGGCAAGCGUUAUCCGGAUUUACUGGGUGUAAAGGGUACGUAGGCGGUUUGUUAAGUCAGAUGUGAAAGCCCGGAGCUCAACUCCGGGACUGCAUUUGAAACUGGCGAACUAGAGUACAGGAGAGGAAAGCGGAAUUCCUGGUGUAGCGGUGAAAUGCGUAGAUAUUAGGAAGAACACCAGUGGCGAAGGCGGCUUUCUGGACUGUAACUGACGCUGAGGUACGAAAGCGUGGGGAGCGAACAGGAUUAGAUACCCGGGUAGUC